Molecule: ribosomal RNA, 695 nt
Filed under: uncultured bacterium
Lineage: Bacteria
Description: bacterial SSU rRNA
Rfam family: Bacterial small subunit ribosomal RNA
Source: RNAcentral
AACGCUAGCUACAGGCUUAACACAUGCAAGUCGAGGGGAAACGAUAUUGGAAGCUUGCUUCCGAUAGGCGUCGACCGGCGCACGGGUGAGUAACGCGUAUCCAACCUGCCCACCACUUGGGGAUAACCUUGCGAAAGUAAGACUAAUACCCGAUGAUAUCUCUAGACGACAUCUGAAAGGGAUUAAAGAUUUAUCGGUGAUGGAUGGGGAUGCGUCUGAUUAGCUUGUUGGCGGGGUAGCGGCCCACCAAGGCAACGAUCAGUAGGGGUUCUGAGAGGAAGGUCCCCCACACUGGUACUGAGACACGGACCAGACUCCUACGGGAGGCAGCAGUGAGGAAUAUUGGUCAAUGGGCGAGAGCCUGAACCAGCCAAGUCGCGUGAGGGAAGACGGUCCUAAGGAUUGUAAACCUCUUUUGUCGGGGAGCAAGAAAGGGUAUGCAUACCCUACUGAGAGUACCCGAAGAAAAAGCAUCGGCUAACUCCGUGCCAGCAGCCGCGGUAAUACGGAGGAUGCGAGCGUUAUCCGGAUUUAUUGGGUUUAAAGGGUGCGCAGGCGGGCUGUCAAGUCAGCGGUAAAAUAGCGGGGCUCAACCCCGUCGAGCCGUUGAAACUGGCAGCCUAGAGUGGGCGAGAAGUAUGCGGAAUGCGUGGUGUAGCGGUGAAAUGCAUAGAUAUCACGAAGAACUCCGAUUG